This is a long non-coding RNA of Varroa destructor (honeybee mite), 2053 nucleotides long. The record is from RefSeq and is a predicted model, not a curated record. Lineage: Eukaryota; Metazoa; Arthropoda; Arachnida; Mesostigmata; Varroidae.
AGCGUUGAUUGUCUUUUCACUGAAAUUUGUUUAUUGCGUCGUAAGCUAUCCGUUUCUUUUUUGGAUCAUAUAAAAUUGUCCAUGCCGAUUAGAAGCAGCUUCAGUAAGCCAACAAAAGGGAGACACAUUCAUUGUUUCGAGUUCCUUCUAGUAUAGAGUUGGAACCGUUUGCUUCUCGUGUGUGAAAGCAUGACCGUGGGGAACUCCUAAAUUGUUACCCCAUACAAAACCAUGAAUGGCAUCUUGAUCCGGAUCCGGCGCAAUGGAUUCGCCAGCACGCUAACCUAAAAAUCGACACAUUACGAGCCACAACCCAGUUUUUAACAUACUCGAUUUAAGCUACGUGUCGUUUAGCAUGCUCAUUUAAAAGUAUGGUUCUAAUAAAUGCAUCGUUCACCCAUGAACAAGCUACAAUCGAGUAUUUUCGGUUUUUGACAGUAUCCUGUACGCAAAACAAGGUAGUUGACACUGCACGACCACCUAUUUUUAGAACAGUGAGACGCGUAUCAAUGGGAAGUUACGUAGUCAAGCUUAGCAACAAUAAGUUAAAUAUUGUUUCAGUGGUGCUUCUGGUUUCACAUCGAAGGGCAGACUUCCACCGCAAGUUAGCGAUUCGCGGACGACGUACCCCCCAACCUUCAUGCACAGCGGAGUAUUCUACCAGUAUGAUACAUCCACCACUUUGUUUGUAUACCAGUCCCCCAUCAUGAUGGCUCAUCGUUAUAUAAUGUAAACAAACAGUGUAUUUUCGACGUUCACUUCGUUUUUUCUUCUUCCUGCCGAGGUCAAAGAUCUACCUAAUUUCGGAUAUCUGUGCUGUGCCUAGUGUGGCCUUCUUGCCUAAUCAACUGCUUGAAGACGACUUGCAAAAUUGCAAAACCCUUCGACCAAAACCCCGUCUUGGGCGUGCAGCAAACACUUUACUCCGGACGAUCAUUUCAGGACGAUAAGGACCACUCGAAGCCAUUUUAAAACUACCCGAAGAGUAGGCCUGCAUCUAUACGGCAAUUACGAGCCACCCUAGACCCAUAAGAUUUAUGAAAAGGUCAUAGGUCUGGGUCUUCUAUAGUGAAGAGCAUAGAGAAACUCGGCCAAGUCGAAACUCGAAUCAAAGCCACUAAAGCCGCUUUGCAAACCCUGCAAUAGGAGGUUCGUUUAUAUGCACCAUAUCCUUCAGGCCCCACGUAAGCAGAUUAACCAUAUUCGUGAUUCACUGGCAAAUUGAAAUUCAUAACAAUGUACCCCACACUGAGAAGAAUUUCGAAAAAAUCUACAAAUUUUGAUGAGAGAUUUCGCAAGAAAUCAUAUAGAGAAUAUAGUGAGUUGAUAAGGAUUCGAGGUAAUGUUAAAGCUUGGGUUAAAUUCUGAGCCAGGUAGCAAUUUAGUCACAUUUUAUUCAAGCGAUUAUACAUAAAAUGUCUCAGUGCAAAAAGGCCUGGGUCAAAAUUAAAAAAAUCGAUUUUUAUGUACGGUGCCUAAUGACAGAAUCAAGUAGUUUUUUUUGCGCCAGUUCUAUCUCUAGGCUUACUUUUGCAAAUCGGCUUUUGUGCCUCCGCGUGAACAGCGUGUGUUGAACCUGGUCUAAGCUCGUUUGCAUUAAAUGUCCUAGCUUUGUCUAUUUGUACCGAAUUUUUAGCCAAAUUUUGAAGCCCUCAUGGUGCAAACCUUCUGGAGCGUGCUCUCUAGCUGACGAGGACAUCGAGAGGCUUCGCAGGGUUCGGUAUGUAUGUGUACUAGGGACUGCAUGCAAGAAAAGAAUGCGUUUGUGAACCUCGGUGUUCAUAGGCGAAGAUGAAUCAGCUUUUUACUUGUGGUCCUUGUAGGCCAUCUGAAAGUAGCUGUAACUGUCCGGAUUAUUGUUGAAACCUAUUUGAUCCGGCCAAAAAAUACUAACGUAAAAACGACAAGCCUCGAAAAACUCUAUUUCAUACAAAGAAUGUUCCGAUAAACAAUAAGAUACUAAACCUGGUAUAUUUCAUCCUAAUAAAAGUAAAGAUUAGAAAAGAUAAUAGAAAAACAUUAAUGGAUAAACUAAAGCUAAUAGCUAUGAACU